RNAcentral lists this transfer RNA (90 nucleotides) under compost metagenome. Its description in RNAcentral is "tRNA-Ser". The record is from RNAcentral.
CCGUCCGGCAGGUCGGCGAGCUUGGCGCUCCAGGUGCGCUGGCUGCCGUCAGCGUUGAGGCGGGCGGCGUGCAGCGCAUCGUCGAUGGCC